RNAcentral lists this ribosomal RNA (433 nucleotides) under uncultured bacterium. RNAcentral describes it as "partial 16S ribosomal RNA". It matches the Rfam family "Bacterial small subunit ribosomal RNA", at positions 39 to 507 of the family's 1533-position model. The record is from RNAcentral.
GGGGGGGGGGGGGGGGGGGGCGGGGGGGGGGAGGGCGCGCGGGGCGGGCGGGGCUGGUGGCGCGCGGGGGCGGGGCGCGGGGGAGCCUGCCCGUGGGUGCGGAAUAACUCCCCGAAAGGGGUGCGAAGACCGGAUAGUGUCUUCGGACCAAAGAUUCAUCGCCUGUGGAUGGGCCCGCGUUGGAUUAGCUAGUUGGUAGGGUAAAAGCCUACCAAGGCGACGAUCCAUAGCUGGUCUGAGAGGAUGAUCAGCCACACUGGGACUGAGACACGGCCCAGACUCCUACGGGAGGCAGCAGUGGGGAAUAUUGGACAAUGGGCGAAAGCCUGAUCCAGCAAUGCCGCGUGAGUGAUGAAGGCCUUAGGGUUGUAAAGCUCUUUUACCCGGGAUGAUAAUGACAGUACCGGGAGAAUAAGCUCCGGCUAACUCCGUG